UACGUAGGGUCCAAGCGUUAUCCGGAAUCACUGGGCGUAAAGCGUGCGUAGGCGGAUGUUUAAGUGUAAUGCGAAAUCCUGUGGCUCAACCAUAUGGACUGUAUUGCAUACUGGAUAUCUGGAGGAAUGCAGAGGCAAGUGGAAUUACUGGUGUAGCAGUGAAAUGCGUAGAUAUCAGUAGGAACACCAAUGGCGAAGGCAGCUUGCUGGGCAUUUUUCUGACGCUAAGGCACGAAAAGCGUGGGGGAGCGAAACA
This 256-nucleotide ribosomal RNA is filed under the name uncultured bacterium. Its description in RNAcentral is "partial 16S ribosomal RNA". It matches the Rfam family "Bacterial small subunit ribosomal RNA", at positions 524 to 775 of the family's 1533-position model. The record is from RNAcentral.